RNAcentral lists this long non-coding RNA (1554 nucleotides) under Helianthus annuus (common sunflower). RNAcentral's name for it is "hypothetical non coding rna". Lineage: Eukaryota; Viridiplantae; Streptophyta; Magnoliopsida; Asterales; Asteraceae. The record is from RNAcentral.
CUCUCCAAACACCCUUCUUUCUCUUCUCUCUCUCUCAUCUCUGUCGAACACCACCACCACCGCACCGCCACCACCACCACCGCAACCAUCUCUGUCUCUCUCUCUUCUCCCUCUCUCUCUUCCGCAACCACCACAACCAACCACCACAAAUCAAAAGAAACCCUAAAAUUCUCUAAUCAGCCGCAACUAAUCGGCUUCAAUGGCUUAGGAUCACCACCAACACUUCCCACCGGUAAUAUCCAUCACAUCUGCGCCACCACCUCAUCCCCCCACCGACCUUCUCUCCACCACCACUGCAAUGUAUGAUACGGACCACCACGGCACCACCAACAUCGCAAUGGAUGACACGGUGACGAAGCUGGAGAUAGAGAGAGACUGAGAAGAGAGAGAGACCGAGCAGAGAGAAACUCCGAGAGCCGACGUCACCGGCGACCAACGCCGUCAGCGGCGGCGAUGACGGUGGGUAUUUGUUGAUUUUCCGAUACAAUUUCCGGUAAAACCACUUUUCUUUCUAUUAAAUUUCUAAAAGAUUAAUGUUAAUGAUGUGCUAUUGUCGAUGCUGAUGAUGAAUUUCUGUUGUAAAUGACGGUGGUUGAUGGCUGCCGGCGGUGUGUGCAGAGAUGAGAGAGAGAAGAGAAAGAAGGGUGGUUGGAGAGAGAGUGUGUGUGUGUGUGCAGAGUGAUUUUAGGGGUGUUUGGGUAUAUUAAUACUUAAAAUGACUAAAAUACCCCUGAGGAAAAGGACAAAAAUCUGACCUGAUUUGAGAUUUGGAUCAAAAUGGCAAUAAAAUGCAAACCUCAGGGACCCAGAUGUAAAAAAAUUGGAUUUUGGACUAAAGUGGCAAAAGUGAGCAAACCUCAGGGACCAUUUUGGCUAUUAACUCUAAUUUUGACAUAAUGUGAUGAACGAAAUAUGAUGGCAGUUCAACUUGGCACUUCCCGCUACAAAAACCGCCCACCCCAUAACUUUGUCACAUCUACUUGAUAUGCAUCAAAAGUCAACAUUUAGCUCACUGGAAUCUAUAAAAGUUGAAGUAUCAAAUGGAUUAUGACAAUGGGAAAUUUGUGUAGAAUGUGAUAUAUUACCUGAUUGCCAGCAUUCGGGCCGUCUGUAGUAAAGAGAAUAGGAUGACAACAUUUAUCUUGAUUCAUCAAGCUUGACUCCUGAAAGUUCGCAAUUAGGGCUUGCUUUCCCUGGAUUCUAGCAUAUGCAAGACACGCCACUUUUCCACUAUGAAACUUCUCCCAUUUUUUCCCAUUGAUUGACUGCAAAAUUAUAUGUUGUUUUUGGUAUUUCUUUUCGUUUAGUCGAAGCAAAACAAAACAAUUUAGCAGAUGAAUGGCUCGGCUCACAGAAAGAAUGGAAUUUAGUAGAUUUACCUUGUAAAAUGGCAUUUUACUCAAAAAUAAAUAAAUAACUUGCCUUGAAAUCAAGAGGGAGAUAAAUGAAAUCAUAAGUUCCCUGAUUAUGCUCAUUGAUUGCAGCCAACAGCAUGGCAGAACUAUACCUGCGGUAAUAACACUUGAUUUAGUAAAAGAUGAUCAGAACGUUGUA